Long non-coding RNA from Cebus imitator (Panamanian white-faced capuchin), 468 nucleotides. RefSeq lists it as uncharacterized. The record is from RefSeq and is a predicted model, not a curated record. The transcript is spliced from 2 exons. Lineage: Eukaryota; Metazoa; Chordata; Mammalia; Primates; Cebidae.
UCAUCUCCGUGCAUUUUGUUUUACUUACCCGUGUAUAUGGUGUACAUAAAGGACAAACGAGGCCUAAUUUACAACAUCUAGUCUUUCUAGAUGUUAAAGAGGUUGCCAAUGUAUGACAGAAGUAGAGUUAGUAAACUAACACAUUGUGUACACUUUCUUAAAAUUCAUAGAAAGGCUGUCUUCUGAAAAAGACUUUCGGAAGUGAAAUUACAUCAGCUUUAAGUGACACAUGUGCCUAUAUCCACCACGUUGGUGGUGGAGAGGAGCUGGAACUAAUGAACAGUUCUAGACCAGAAUGUUCUUAUUUAGAAGACACUUUACAGAUAUAACCAUUGCUACUUGUGUGCAGUUUAUUCAACACUACUGUAUAUAUAGUGGACAAACUUUAAGUCCUAAUUUGAAACAUCUAGUCUUUCUAGAUGUUUAGAAGUGCACAAAAAAUGUUAAAAGUAGAGGUAGUAAAUAACA